Molecule: long non-coding RNA, 3830 nt
Filed under: Zostera marina
Lineage: Eukaryota; Viridiplantae; Streptophyta; Magnoliopsida; Alismatales; Zosteraceae
Description: long non-coding RNA (ZMAR_LNC000010)
Source: RNAcentral
AAAAGAUGAGGAGGUUGUCCUUAUUUUCAUAUUUAGAAACCGACAACAUUCAACGUAGAUCGAUUCUCGUCGACUUUUCUUUCUUUUUUUCUUCUGGGUGUUGAUAUUUGGUUGAAAAGAUUUAUGUUUGGUUGCAGUUUUGACGAUUUCAUCUACCAAUCGUUUUCAAUCUCUUCAUUUUGCAUCUGAAUCUUCGUUUUUGAUAUCUCUUCGUUUUGCAUCUGAAUCAUCGAGCGACACAGAAUUUACUUUUGCAUCUGAAUCGGAAAUUGUAGGAUGAUUAUAGAGGGUGGAUCAGGGUUUCUUCUCAAUUUGGGGAUUGAUUUUUAUUCGUGAUAUCAGGGAUCGAUGGUUUCAUAUUAUUUUGUAGAAUCUAAUAUUUUAUUGUCAUAAAAGAAAUCUAGCAUUGUUUUUACCUUCUCGCAUGAGAUAGAUUAUGAUAAAUGAGAUAUUUCCAUUGGCUUGUGUUUAAAAAAAUCACAAUAAUAUUAUAAAAUUCAUUUCAAUAUUUUUCUUUUUGUGAUUUUAAAAUAGUAUUCUCUUAAUUAACACCUUUUUAUUUCAUUUUAAAAUAAUACUUCCAUCAUUCUUGAGAUUUGUAUUACAUUUUAAAUCUAAAAUAAUUAUUGAAAAUUCAUAUCGUUUGACAAUAAUUCUUUUCUUUUGAAUUAAGUAUUAUUUUUAAUAAUUAUUUUUCUCUCAUGGGUAAUUCAUGCUUUUAUUUUUUUCCCAUUUCAACAUUUUACUUUGUAUCUUUUGGAGACAUGUUUGUUGUGCUUUUUGAAUCUAAAAUAUUAAUUGCUUGUGUAGAUCGAUAGACAUGAAUCGCAUAUCGAUGUCUUUGGAGUUCAUAAUAGUUUAAAAUAAUAAAUAUCUAUUUCCAAAAUGAUUUUGUGUUCUACCCUAUUUUCAAAUAAUAUAUUAUGUAUGAGUAAAUCUCAAUAUUUUUCUUCUUGUGACUUUAAAAUAGUAUUAUGUUAUUUAACACCUUUUUAUUUCAUUUUAAAAUAAUGCUUACAAAAUGAUAGUUGAAAAUAAUAGUUGAAGAUAGAGAGUUGAAAACUAUUAAAUCUUUUUGUGACUAUAAAAUAGUAUUAUGUUAAUUGACAACUUUUUGUUUCAUUUUAAAAUAAUGCUUCCAAAAUGAUAGUUGAAAAUAUUAGUUGAAGAUAUAGAGUUGAAAACUAUUAAAUUUUUUUAUUUCAUCUUUGGAGUUUAUAAUAUAUAGUUGAAAAUAAUAAUUUUUUUUCCAAAAUGAUUUUAGAUUAUUCUUCCCUUUUUUCAAAUAAUAUAUUAUGAGAAAAUUACGAUAUUUUUCUUUUUUGACUUUAAAAUAGUAUUAUGUUAAAUAACACCUUUUUAUCUCAUUUUAAAAUAAUGCUUCCAAAAUGAUAGUUCAAAAUAAUGGUUGAAAAUAUAUAGUUGAAAACUAUUAGAUCUUUUUAUUUUGUAUUUGGAUUUCAUAAUAUAUAGUUAAAAAUAAUAAAUUUUUAUUUCCUAAAUGAUUUUUUGUUUUACUAGCCUUUUUUCAAAUAAUAUAUUAUGAGUAAAUUUCAAUAUUUUUCUUUUUGUGACUUUAAAAUAGUAUUAUGUUAAUUAACACCUUUUUAUUUCAUUUUCAAAUAAUUCUUCCAAAAUGAUAGUUCAAAAUUAUAGUUGAAAAUAUAUAGUGAAAACUAUUAGAUCUUUUUAUUUCAUCUUUGGAGUUCAUAAUAUAUAGUAGAAAAUAAUAAAUUUUUAUUUCCAAAAUGAUUUUUUCUUAUUAUACCCUUUUUUUAAAUAAUAUAUUAUCAUGAGUAAAUCUCAAUAUUUUCUAGCUUUUUGUGACUUUAAAAUAGUAUUAUUUUAUCAAACAACUUUUGUAUUUCAUUUUAAAAUAAUGAUUCCAAAAUGAUAGUUCAAAAUAAUAGUUGAAAAAAUAGAGUUGAAAACUAUUAGAUCUUUUUAUUUCAUCUUAAUUUGUAGUUCAUAAUAUAUAGUUGAAAAUAAUAAAUUUUUAUUUCCAAAAUGAUUUUGUGCUAUUCUACCCUAUUUUCAAAUAAUAUAUUAUGUAUGAGUAAAUCUCAAUAUUUUUCUACUUGUGACUUUAAAAUAGUAUUAUGUUAUUUAACACCUUUUUAUUUCAUUUUAAAAUAAUGCUUACAAAAUGAUAGUUGAAAAUAAUAGUUGAAGAUAGAGAGUUGAAAACUAUUAAAUCUUUUUAUUUCAUCUUUGGAGUUCAUAAUAUAUAGUUGAAAAUAAUAUUUUUUUUUCCAAAAUCAUUUUUUGUUAUUCUACCCUUUUUUCAAAUAAUAUAUUAUUAGUAAAUUACGAUAUUUUUCUUUUUUGACUUUAAAAUAGUAUUAUGUUAAAUAACACAUUUUUAUCUCAUUUUAAAAUAAUGCUUCAAAAAUGAUAGUUCAAAAUAAUAGUUGAAAACUAUUAGAUCUUUUUAUUUUGUAUUUGGAUUUCAUAAUAUAUAGUUAAAAAUAAUAAAUUUUUAUUUCCAAAAUGAUUUUUUGUUUUUCUAGCCUUUUAUCAAAUAAUAUAUUAUGAGUAAAUUUAAAUAUUUUUCUUUUUGUGACUUUAAAAUAGUCUUAUGUUAAUUAACACCUUUUUAUAUCAUUUUUAAAUAAUUCUUCCAAAAUGAUAGUUCAAAAUUAUUGUUGAAAAUAUAUAGUGAAAACUUUUAGAUCUUUUUAUUUCAUCUUUGGAGUUCAUAAUAUAUAGUAGAAAAUAAUAAAUUUUUAUUUCCAAAAUGAUUUUUUCUUAUUUUACCUUUUUUUCAAAUAAUAUAUUAUGUAUGAGUAAAUCUCAAUAUUUUUCUUGCCUUUUGUGACUUUAAAAUAGUAUUAUUUUAUUUAACACCUUUUUAUAUCAUUUUAAAAUAAUGCUUCCAAAAUGAUAGUUGAAAAUAUUAGUUGAAGAUAUAGAGUUGAAAACUAUUAAAUCUUUUUAUUUCAUCUUUGGAGUUAAUAAUAUAUAGUUGAAAAUAAUAAUUUUUUUUCCAAAAUGAUUUUAGAUUAUUCUUCCCUUUUUUCAAAUAAUAUAUUAUGAGUAAAUUACGAUAUUUUUCUUUUUUGACUUUAAAAUAGUAUUAUGUUAAAUAACACCUUUUUAUCUCAUUUUAAAAUAAUGCUUCCAAAAUGAUAGUUCAAAAUAAUAGUUGAAAAUAUAUAGUUGAAAACUAUUAGAUCUUUUUAUUUUGUAUUUGGAUUUCAUAAUAUAUAGUUAAAAAUAAUAAAUGUUUAUUUCCAAAAUGAUUUUUUGUUUUUCUAGCCUUUUUUCCAAUAAUAUAUUAUGAGUAAAUUUCAAUAUUUUUCUUUUUGUGACUUUAAAAUAGUAUUAUGUUAAUUAACACCUUUUUAUUUCAUUUUUAAAUAAUUCUUCCAAAAUGAUAGUUCAAAGUUAUAGUUGAAAAUAUAUAGUGAAAACUAUUAGAUCUUUUUAUUUCAUCUUUGGAGUUCAUAAUAUAUAGUAGAAAAUAAUAAAUUUUUAUUUCCAAAAUGACUUUUUCUUAUUUUACCCUUUUUUCAAAUAAUAUAUUAUAUAUGUAUGAGUAAAUCUCAAUAUUUUUCAAGCUUUUUGUGACUUUAAAAUAGUAUUAUUUUAUUUAACACCUUUUUAUAUCAUUUUAAAAUAAUGCUUCCAAAAUUAUAGUUGAAAAUAAUAGUUGAAGAUAUAGAGUUGAAAACUAUUAAAUCUUUUUAUUUCAUACUUGGAGUUCAUAAUAUAUAGUUGAAAACAAUAUAUUUUUUUUCCAAAAUCAUUUUUUGUUAUUCUACCCUUUUUUCAAAUAAUAUAUAUAUUAUGUACGAGUAAUUAUCAAUAUUUUUCUUUUUUUUACUUUA